This is a non-coding RNA of Phascolarctos cinereus (koala), 403 nucleotides long. NCBI's taxonomy places the organism in Eukaryota, Metazoa, Chordata, Mammalia, Diprotodontia, Phascolarctidae. The record is from RefSeq and is a predicted model, not a curated record.
GUAAUUAUCUAGUCUUCUUGCUCAAGAUGAAUGCCUGGACAAUGCGCAGGAGGCUAUUGAAGAAAAUGUUUUACCCUUGUUUCAAAUCUUUUUGCAUUUUAUAAGCCUUUCCUGGACUGCAUCCUACUCAGAUCACAUAACCGACAAGAAAGAAGUCUGGGAUGAUGUGGGGCCCCUCAGCACUGAACUUCAGAAGAAGUUGUGGAGGAUUACUUAUGCUUGAAACUGUUUCUGAGCUCUUCGAGGGAAGAUGGAAUUUGAUACAACCCCGAUUCAUUUACUUUCUGUUCCACUGGAUUUUCAGAAUAGCGAUUUUCGUAUUUAUUUAUAAUGUUUAUCAUCGCCCUAAUGCUAAUUUAAUCUCUUUGAAAAAAAAUUCAUCAGGCUGGUAAUAAAUGAUAUG